This is a long non-coding RNA of Peromyscus californicus insignis, 11437 nucleotides long. RefSeq lists it as uncharacterized. The transcript is spliced from 7 exons. NCBI's taxonomy places the organism in Eukaryota, Metazoa, Chordata, Mammalia, Rodentia, Cricetidae. The record is from RefSeq and is a predicted model, not a curated record.
CACCCGGGGCGCCUCCCCGCGUGGCUGGGCGGGCUCAGUCACGACGCUGCGACCCCACCCGUCGGCCCAGCCCCCACGAAUGCUUAGCUUCUGGAAACGGUCCCGGGAGCACUUGACUAUCACCCCCAAGCGAGGAGCAAAUCCUGGAGACAGAUGUGUCCCGCAGGAGCUGGAAUAGAAGUCCACGCCACAGUACAGGUGAUUAGGAAAUAGGGCAGUGGUGGGACUUGUUGAAGAUGAAGCAGAUGUUGGUGGAGGGAAAAAAAUCACCCUGCUCUGGCUUAAUUAUCAUGCCUCAAGCAGAAACAAACUUGAGUCAGGGAUGGACCGAGGCAAGAUGAGGACAGUCCAUCCCACUGUUGGCAGUGUCAUCCCGAGGAAGAUUGGCCUGGCUGUAUAAGAAAUGUAGCUGAGCAAAUCAGAGUGAUCCGGUUUAAUUAAGGAUCUCAAGAGGAAGAGAUCUGCCUGGAUUAUGCAUACAGGCCCUAAUGCAUCAUAGAAGAAACACCUUGGAGAGCCACCAAAGAGCAUGCUGGGAAAGCCCGAGCUGGAGUAUGAGUGAUAAAGAGAAGUCGGCCAAGAUGGAGCUCACUGACCUCACCAGCCUGACAGCUAUUGUACACAGGAAGGGGGCUAAUAAGUGCUGACUUUCCUGCCAGCUGUCAGUAGAAGAGAUGUUACUUCAAGCCACAACAUUUUGGAGUGGUUUCCUUUGUAGCAACAGUACAUCCAGCCAGCCGGCAGCAAGCACAUACUAGUUGCUCUUCCAGGCAAUGGGGACAUCAUCUCCAUGAGUGAGCAUAUUCUGAGGUAGGGAUUCAGCACAAGGAAGGACAGGGUCUCACUGCUUAACCCUGAAUGACCUCAAACUCACAAAGAUCUACCUGCUUCUGCUUCAUGAGUGCUAGGAUUAAAGGGUAUGCUGCCACACCUAGUUCUUGGCUUCCAUUUUUAAAAAGUAAAUAAUGGCAUUAUAACAUACUCUCUUAAUAAAUAAUCAAGGGAUUUUGAAAAUAUAGUGUUUUCACUAACAAAGAGUUUUUAAAUUAUUUAUUAAUAUGAUGUUUUGAACUUGAAUUUGAGUGUUUCUGUAUAAAUCACAAUAAAAAUUAAUGAUGGUUGGCUUUUGUAGUUCCUACUAAUAAGUCCUGUGUUGCUGUUUUACAUACUAUAAAUGAUACUCGUAUGCAGGAUUGUGUUGAAGCUGCUCCUUGGGGGCAUUUUUCCACUUCAAUGUGAAAUAGAUCAUUGGAGUUUUAUGAGCAGUUUCAUUGUGUGGCUUUUCAAAAGAAAAAAAAAGUUUUUGAUUUUUUGUUCACAGUUUUCAGGAGAGAUCUGUUUUGGGAUAUUAUAUAGUCCAAUGAUGUCUUGAAUAACCCAGAGCUCCGUAGCAUAUGACAUCUCUCAAUGCAAAUGUAAUAAAUAGACACCUACAUCCUAGAUGCAAUACUAGUACGUUUCUCUUGGUCUAUGGCUCUUGUGGAGAGCAUUGUCAGCCCAGGUAGCAUAACUGUGUUUAAGAUAUACAUAGAGAUUGACAUAAAUGUGUAGGUGCACAUACACUUACACAUGUGAUAUAUGAUUUCAGGUAAAUAUGAAAUAAUUCCUUGAUACUUUAUCAGACAGCCUGGGUAUCAUUUGUCUGUAGCUAGAGUUUUCCUGCCUGGCCCACAGUCAGGACAAACUCUCUCACCCGCCAGUCCCACAGCCACUCAGACCCGACCAAGGAAACACAGAGACUUAUAUUGGUUACAAACUAUAUGGCCGUGGCAGGCUUCUUGCUAACUGUUCUUACAGCUUAAAUUAAUCCAUUUCUAUUAAUCUAUACCUUGCCACUUGGCUUGUGGCUUACCGGUACUUUACAUCUUCCUUGUCCUGAUGGCGGCUGGCAGUGUCUCCCCUCCCAGCUUCCUGUUCUCUCAAUUUUCCUCUCUGUUAGUCCCGCCUAUACUUCCUGCCUGGCCACUGCCAAUCAGUGAUUUAUUCAUUGACCAAUCAGCAACACAUUUGACAUACAGACCAUCCCACAGCACCUCCCCUUUUCUUUUCUUAAAAAGGAAGGUUUUAACCUUUACACAUCUCCAAAGUCAGCUUGGUAUAUUUGGGAAUUUGGGCGUAGCUUCUCUUACUACUUCCUGCUGGAGGGGGGCGCUGUAUCUUCUGGGGAAACAAAAUUUAAGGAUCAUGGAGUAGUCCGUGAGGCUGUAUCAUCUGAGCCAGUUGCCUUGAAACGAUUCUGGAUGUUGGAUCAUCUGGGCCAUGGUGUCAUCGGAGACCUUUCAGGUGGUCUUGGCUGGUCAAACCUGAUGUGUCUUAAUCUGGAACAAAUCCAUAGCCUCUUGCUUUCUGUGGAAACAAAAGAGACUCUUUUCCAAAGCAACAUAUCCUUACAUCCAAAUUUUGAAGUCAAAGUAUCUUUAAAAUAUACAUACUGGUUUAACUCAGCUUCCUUUACAAUCAAAUAUCUCUCUGUAGUUAAGAAUCCCAAAGACAACACAAUCCAGACUCUCUGUGUAAUAGUCAUCUCUACGUGGCUUAUUUUUUAUAUUAAUUUUACUGUCUCUUUAAAGACUUUAUUUUUUAAAACCAUGUAUUUGUUUCUAUACUGUAUAUAUCACCUUUUUUUUUGUCUCUUUUAAGCCUACGUAUAUUUUACACACAUUUUAAACUAUUACAUCUGAAUCUGUCUUAUUGUGAAUCUAUUGCUUUAAGCUGCAGCAGCUGUGGCUGCUGGCUCCGCCCACCUCAGCUUCCCAACAUGGCGUGGUACUUUACCACCAGCUCUGGGAGCUAUCGUGGGUCUAUGUUUUUAUCCAAGCAGCGUGUAGCCCAGAAACCUCUUUUGUUUUGUACUAGCAAAGGCUAAAUCCACAAUGUAGCUUAAUGUGCCACUUGCAGAGGCCUCAUUCCCGCCAUACUGCAGGUCGAGCGCGCACGCCAGCAACCUGCCAGUAGCUCAAACAGGCAGCUGCCGCUCAUUUGAGAGAGACAAUUAGGAAGCUGUUUUUAGCUCCGUUUUAGAAUCUUUUUUCUCAGGUUUUAGGUGGAAACUCUUGCCACCACGUUGGACGCCAUUUGUAGCUAGAGUUUUCCUGCCUGGCCCACAGUCAGGACAAACUCUCUCACCCGCCAGUCCCACAGCCACUCAGACCCGACCAAGGAAACACAGAGACUUAUAUUGGUUACAAACUGUAUGGCCGUGGCAGGCUUCUUGCUAACUGUUCUUACAGCUUAAAUUAAUCCAUUUCUAUUAAUCUAUACCUUGCCACUUGGCUUGUGGCUUACCGGUACUUUACAUCUUCCUUGUCCUGAUGGCGGCUGGCAGUGUCUCCCCUCCCAGCUUCCUGUUCUCUCAAUUUUCCUCUCUGUUAGUCCCGCCUAUACUUCCUGCCUGGCCACUGCCAAUCAGUGAUUUAUUCAUUGACCAAUCAGCAACACAUUUGACAUACAGACCAUCCCACAGCAUUUGUCCUCUCUUUUCUAUCUUUCCAGCUACAGGCCCCUCACCAUUUUCCCACUUUGUAUCACCUGUAUUCUGCUAUGCCUCUCCCACUCCUGCCACGGUCCCUUUAUACUUUCCUGAUUUCUGUGAUUUCUCCGUCUUAUACACUCGCAUCUGAAGAUUUGGAGUUAGAAGCCUCCAAUGAGUGAGAACAUUUGAUGUUUGUCUUUCUGGGUCUGAAUUACCUCACUCGAUAUAAUCUUUUGUAGUUAUAUCCAUUUACUUGUAAAUUUUAUCUUUUUCUUUUUCUUUACAGCUGAAUAGUAUUCCCUUGUGUGUAUGAACCACAUUUUCGUUAUCCAUUCAUCUGCUGAAGGACAUUUAGGUUAUAUUUCCAUUUCCUAGCUACAGUGAAGUAGGGUAUGGAGUCCACUGCGUUUAUGCCAAAGAGUGGUAUAGCUGGGUCAUAAGGUAGGUUUACUUUUAGCUUUUUCAGGUUUCUCCAUACUGGAUUCCAGAGUGACUGCACCACUUGGCUCUUGCCACCAACACUGAAUAAGGACUCCAUUUUCCUCACAUCCUCUCCAGCAGUUUUUACCACUUUUUAUUGAUCAUAGCCAUUCUAACUGGGGUGAAAUGAAAUCUCAAAGAUGUUUUGAUUUGCAUUUUCCUAAUUGCUAAUUUUUUAGGUAUUUCUUUUGCAGUUGUUGGAGCUCAUUUAUUUUAUUUUAUUUUUUUCUUUUAUUGAAAAUAGAUUUUUUUCUCAUAUAAUAUAUACUGAUUGUGGUUUCUCCUCCCUAUCCUCCUCCCAGUUUCUCCCCACCUCUCCUCCCAUCUAGACCCACUACCUUUCUGUCUCAUUAAAAACAUUCUUCUAAGAGACGAUAAUAAAAUAAAACACAAGCUAACACAUCAGACUAGAACAAAACAAACAAACAGAAGGAAAAGAGCCCAAGAAAAGGCACAAGAAACAUGUGUAGAUACAGAGAACCACUCCGGCGCAUACUCGGGAAUCCCAUAAAAAGACAAACUGAAAGCCAUAAUGUAUAUGCAAAGGGCCUGUGGGAGGGGGAGAGAGAGAGAAAGAAAGAGAGGGAGGGGGAGGGAGGAAAGAAAUAGAUGAAAUGAAAUAAGAAUUAAAUAUGAAAAAUAAAAACGAUUACAUUUUUUUAAAGCCCUAACAUGACAUUAUAAGACAAGGAACUCCUAAAUAUGCCAUUGAGUUUGGUUUUUGUUGGCCAUGUACAACUGCAAAAGAAAUACCUAAAAAAAUGUUCAUCAUGUUAUCAAUUAGGAAAUUUAUGACUCUCCAUCAUACAUCCUGACAUCGGAAAUGGCAAUCUCUGUCAUAUUGUUCUUUCUGCUCAGGAUGUCGGUGAGGCAUUUUAUUGACUGCCAAUUGUUGAUGUGGGAGGACCCAGCCCACUGUGAGUGGUUCCAUUCUUAGGCAGGUAUGCCUGGGAUGUAUUUUUAAAAGGGCCGCUGAGCAUGAACUAGUAAGUGAGCCAAUAAGCAGUGUUCCUUCAUGGUUUUUGCUUCAGUUCUUGUUGAUUCCUGCCAUGGCUUCCCUUGAUGAUGGACUGUAAUCUAUAAGCCAAAUAAACCCUUUCCUCCCCAGAUUGCUUUGGACCAUGGUCUUACCACAGGAACAGAAAAAGAAAACUAGGAUACAUUAACUCUUAAAUACUCAUGGUACUAUGGUACCUGCAACCAGCCCUAAAACUAACAAACGGCCACCAUAGCCUUUAAAUCCCCGAUCUCCCAGAUUGGCCACACUCAGCCCCUCUUGUAAUUUAUUAACCUGUAAAAUAAGAGGCUGUGAAUGAGACAUGAAAAUUAAAAUACCUCACUGAAGCCUAGAUGUACUAGUCUGGAAUGUGCAAUGCAAUCAUGCAAUAGAGAGGUGUAAGGAUUGGGACAAAGUAUACCAAGUCUAAGUGUAAAGUUUCUACUCAAUUCUAGCUGGCUGAUGGUUCCCACAUCUUCUCAUUCUUCCUCAGAGCUCAGAAACCUGGGUUGCUAUGUGAAAUCUUCUGAUAUUUAAAUAAUAUUAAAUAAUCCUAUGACCAAACAAGCUACAGAACUAGUAGGGAGAGAUGUUCUUCCAGAUAGGCCUCUACCAUAGGUCUUUGUUGGCGACACUGUCUUUAGUAUUGAUUUCUGUUUAGAUGGCUGAGAGGAAUCCAUGAGCACCAUGGCUAGUGUCUCCUGGGACACUUCUGUAUGACUGGCUUUCCUAACCUCCAGAUCCUUCUCAGACACAAGCAAAAACUGUCCAGCUACAUCCUUAAUUUCUCUCCAGAGCAAUCUUUCCUUAACUUACUUAGUCACUAUUAUUAGUCUAUUGCUGUGAUAAAACAUUGUGACUAAAAACAACUUGGGGAGGAAAUUAUUCAUUUCCACUUUUACUUACAGCCCUUCAUUGGGGAAGUAAGGGCAAGAGCUCAAGGCAGGGAACUGAAGCAGAAGCCUUGGAGAAACAUUAUUAACUGGCUUGCUCCUCAUGGCUUGCUCAACCCACUUUCUUUAACAACCCAGGACCACUUUCCCAGGGAUGGCACCACCGACAGUGGGCUGGUCCCUCCCACAUCAAUCAUCAAGACAAUACAUCUACAGUCUUGCCUACAAACAAGGCAUUUUCCCCAUUAAAAUGUCUUCUUCCCAGAUAUGUCUACAUUUGUGUCAAAUUGACAAAAAGGGCAACCAGCACAGCAAGCAUCCAAAUUUCAGCAUCGUUUGCAAUCUGGGUAUAAGGAGAGUUCCUAAGUCAUCAGACACCAAUUCCUUCCCUCUUUACAUUUUCUUCCAUCAACACAUCUCUUCCCUUACAUUUCACCAUAAUCAGCAAAAUAAGACUGCUCAGUACCUUAAGUCAUUUUCUUAGAAUUCCCAAAUCAAUAGCCAACAUUACUGACUCCAAGUUCUGCUUCUUGCAUAACAGCAGGACACAAACUCAACAAAUUUGGUGCCACAAUAUAUGAGUUACCUUCCCCCAGGGUUCCUUCAUGUUCCUCAUUUGUUUCUAAAUUGUUACCCGGGGUGUCUCUGAUGUCUAUAUUUUUGCCAACAGUCUUUUGAAUGAAAGUGUAAACAUCUGACAUAGUCAUAUAACACAGCCUUUCUCGGCCAUGUUUUCAUUGCCUUCUGCACCGUCACUAGUGGAGUCUUUGACGUCUAUAAUAUUAACAGUCCAUUGAAAGCAAUGUAGGCAUUUCCUCUCAUGUCCUCAAAAUUCUUCCCAUUUCUAACCACUGCCCAUUUCCAAAGCUAUGCCACAUUUACUUAUUUGAUAACUACCUUUCUAGGUACCCAAACCUCUAUCAUUUAGCAUUAAGUUAGAGGAAGAAAGGCAGUGGGAGAGCUGGAUGUAGGCACUGCAUGGAAAUAAACUGAUUUGGGGGGACUUACACCAUAAAUUCUGACAUCUGUAUAGUGGGGCUUGUUCAGCACAAGGUGAAACCGACACUGGAGUCUUCCAAUAAAACUUCUACUCUGAAGCUCUGGUUCUGUUCUCAAUGGCCUCUGAUUGACUGAUUUAUUCAGAUUUCAAACUUGCCUCUUUUAUGGAGCCAACCUGAAUGUGGAUCUUAUGAUGUGUAAUCUUGGUUGCCAAUUUGAUGGGUUCUUGACAGAGGUCUCUGAAUGAGUUGGCAUGCAUAUUUUCCCAGAACCAUUAACUGAGGGGGACAAAUGGCUGUAAAACAGCUCUAGUCGAGCCCAGGUCUGUCUUAGAGUUAAUGUGACCCCUUGACAAAAGCCGUGUCUCUGAAAUGUAGAUUUUGUACACCAUCCUUUAAAGCAGGGCGGAUAUUCCAUUAUUGACCAUGGGAUGAUUUCCAAAAUCAUCAGAAUGAACCCAGGUGACAGGUAUGGUAUGUCCCGUGGUUGACAAGAGAAAGUAUUCCACCCAGCUUGGUUUCUUUCUUUGGGGACCAACUCCGUGAGGGAAGAAACUUCCCAAGAAAAUGAGGUUUUAAAGAUUAAUCAUUGGAAAAUUUCACUAAUGACUCGUCAUUAGAGAUAAAUCAUUCAUGAUCUCCUUCCCGACAACGAUGGAUAAACGGAUACAUCAGAACAGAAAGCUCUGAGCAAAAGCUGAGAUGCCAGCUGCACAAAACUGGGCCCCAGGACUUCCUGGGAGAAGAACACAUUUGUGCUCCCAAAGGAGCCAGUGCUUUGCAACGUGGUUUUUACAGUGCCAUCUAGUGGAAGGUAAAAUUAUUGCAUAGCAGUCCGGGCAUCUGGGUUCUACUCCUUGGCUCUACCACCAGCUCGGGCCAAAAUGGGGAUUCCAAACUUGAUGUUCUACUUUCGUCCAGCAGCAAGUAACACCAAAUAUAGGUUUUUCCAUUAAAGUUGACUGUAAGUCUACUAGGCAUAAAAAUGAAUAUAGUGACGGUUACCUCUCCGUGCUGACACACAGAUAAACAUUUUUUUUUGCAUUUUUCGAGACAGGGUUUCUCUGUGUAGCUUUGCGCCUUUCCUGGGACUCACUUGGUAGCCCAGGCUGGCCUCGAACUCACAGAGAUCCACCUGGCUCUGCCUCCCGAGUGCUGGGAUUAAAGGCGUGCGCCACCACUGCCUGGCCACAGAUAAACAUUUUUAAAUGCCGGAGCUGUAUGUGGAUAGAACAGUGGGUCCUAAUGUGAAGCUGUAGAGUUAUUCCUUAACAGAGACUAGAGACAGUGUGGGAAGAACAUCUUAAACCUGAAAAGAGUAAAGAGGGCAAGAGGAAAGAUGAGCUGGUCAUGUCCCAGUGUCACAGGUAAAUGUCCUAGUACGGGGAUUGGGUGCCGGCUUCAGAAUGAAAGUCAAAGGUGGCCUGUAUCACUUGGUGAUGGUGUAACACCCCAGGGGCAGUCCAGCCCACUUUUGCUGGAACUCUGUUCCCCACCUCGAAGAAGCUAUCAACCACAUCCUCUGCCUUAUAUGGGAGUUCUUAAGAGAAAUGAGGAAGCAGGGGCAGCCUUGGCCAAAGGACAUUCUUUGAGGUGGGAGUUACCUUCCCUCCACCACGACCAAACCCUCCACGGCUUGUGUUUGUUUCAGCUCACCUGUUUCUUUUCCCUUGAGCCACUUGGCGUUGACACUCUAAGUCAACCUAAUUCCUUCCUCCUCAAUUUCAAACUCUAAUAUCCUCCAUCCCAAAGAAUCAACCAGCUUCUAGCUGCAUGUCCCUGACAAAUCAGACAUCUUUCCUAGAAAUUUCUGGAAAUUAUUCAUGCCUAUUUGCUGCUUACAGAAAACCCAUAGCAAUUCUUCUUCAUGGGGCUGUGCCACUCAACACAAGCAGGGAGAUGUAGGGGCUGCUGACCUCAGACCAGGAUACAAUGUUCUCACCUCUUCUAUCCAAUCUACAUCCCCACCCUCCACCCCACCUCGUUCUCUCCCUUUCAAAGAUGUUUGUUGUAGCCAUUGGGAUAUCAGCCGGUUGCCCUCACAGGAUGACACAGCUUUCUGCCUUUCUUUGCUGUGAGCCAAAGUGAGUAAUGUCUUGUACCUGGGAGAACAAUCAGGAAGGACACAGUCUUCAUUCAGUGCUGAGGGAAAAUAAGUAUAUGUCCCCUGGCUCUUUGUAAACAUUUAUUCCUUGCUGGAAAUAAGUGUUAUCAAGAUAAACCAAGAACCAGCCACAUAGCAAUAGCUUGCUUCACCUUUGAUGUUGCUUUGGUCCUCUCAGAGGCAAAAACAACAUUUUCCUCACAAAGGUGAUUUUCUCCCCCAUGAAGCCCACAGACAACUGAAUUGAUUUUCGGGCCAAAACGAUUUUAGAGUCUAUUUAUCUUCUCAGGAUGUUGUCCGUCCCCAGCUCACUCUGCCAUAUCUUUGCUGAGGUUUGUUGUAACAGAGACGAUUGUAGGCUCUCAUGCUUGAAAGAUAAAGAAAGAAAGAAACUCUGCUUUCUUUGCUGGAUGUGCCCUUUGCUCUAGCCUCUGAGACAAUGUUAGUAUCGAAACAAACACUAGCCUGGAGACUUUCCCUGGGGAGCUUCUGCUGAGUUUUAGGUUCAUUUUCUCCAUUAAUUCUUAAAAAAAAUGCUUUCUAAUAAAUUGUAGUGAUGGUAGGUAGAGUAAGAGGAAAACAUUGUGAAAUCAGCUGCGUGCUCUCUUCCUAGAGGAAUAUUGAAAAGGAGGUUUGUAUAUGCUGGUUAAAAAGUGAUCCCUUUUUAGAAGGGGUCUUUAAGAAGCCUCUUCCCCUUCACCCAAGUGAACACUGCUUAAGAGACUUCUGUGUAAAAACAUCACAUGCCAUUCUGUGCUUUCUAAGAUACUUUUUAUCAAUAUGUUUAAUGCACUUCAUCUUUGAAAUUAAUAAAUAUUAUGAAUUUUUAUGAGUAUGUCAAAAAUUCUGAUUGACAUUUUUCAACUAUUUUAGCAAAUGUCUACUGUAAAACAUUUCAGUGAGCAUCCUUUGAAAUACAGCAUUGUCCAUUUGAGUGAGUAAAUGUAUGUGGCACACUUGAAUAGAAAGAGUGUUGGAUUGAUACAGUAAUGAAGACAGGGAAGAGAAUUAACAAGUGCUAAUUCCCUACUACACAUACAUAAUACAUACAUACAUACAUAUACACACACAUACACACACACACACACACACACACACACACACACACACACACACACUCUCACACACAAUUUUUGUUUGUUUUUUGAGACAGGGUUUCUCUGUGUAGUCCUGGCUAUUCUGGAUAGAACUCACUCUGUAAACCAGGCUGGCUUUGAAAUCACAGAGAUCCCCCUGCCUCUACCUCCCAAGUUCUGGAAUUAAAGGCAUGUGCCACCAUGGCCCAGCUUCCCUAAAUCUUUUGAAGAGACUGAAGCAUAAAACCACUACAGUAUAGCAUAAAAGCACAUUGACCUUGCUAUCUUAAAUUUCUUUACCAGGACUGAGGAGAUAGCACCACAGUUAAGACUAUAAUCUGCUAUUGCAAAGGACCUAGGUUCAGUUCCCAGUAGCUCACAACAACCUGCAUCUCUAGGUUCAGGGGGAUCUGAUGCCCUCUUCUGGCCUCUUUGGGCAUUGCACAUAGAUGGUGCACAGACAGGUACAUACAUACACAUAGAUUUUUUUUUAUUCUCUAUCAUUAAAGUGGUCUCUAUGUGCUUUCUUUCUCCACCACACCCUCUCCCUUUCAUCUUUUUCCCAUUUCUCCUACUUCUUGCUUUCUCCCUCUUAAAGUGCAGGUAAUAUCAUAACGAUGGGAGAAGCCUCUAAUCAAACCCUGUUCCCGGACCUGAGGUAGACCUAGCAUGGCUUCAUGUCUAGACCCUCAUUGCUAAAUUCUAAUAAGAGAUGACAAGUGUGUUCUAGGCCAUGAGCAGUGUGCAGGUUGGUAGCUGAUAGCCAUGGCUUCUGUUAUAACAUUCUUGUCCUGAAUUCUGAAAAGUAUCAGCUCAGGAUACCCAAGACCAAGUUCUCAGCACAAAGGAGAUUUAUUUGCCCCAGAGGAACAGGGGGCAGGGAAUAAUAGACAAAAACAGGAGAUAGAAGAUGAGGGAAAGGAAGAGAAAGGAGGCAGGGAUAUUUGUCCAGUGGUGGAGUGGGGGUGGACAAACCUGCCUCUGGACAAAGAGGAGACAGACAUGGCCUAUAGGCAAGUGAUGAUUUAUAAAAGUAAAAUGGGAACCUCUGUGUUAGGAUGAGGUGUUUAAUUUUAAUUGGGCAUGUUAAUUAGGUGAGCCAAAGGAGGCUUUUGAUUGCUGGACUUCAAUGCUUUGCUAGCUGAAUCUUGGUAAUCAGCCUCAGGAGGAAAGGUUGGUCAAAUAAGAGAAUGGACUUUGGGGGGUAGCUUUAGAAAUGCAAUCUAAUGGUUUUUAGCAAGGCAGAGGGAAAGGGGAGAAAGGCAAGACCUGCCAGAGCCACAUGCUUGCAUGGGCUAGGGUCCCUUCACAUUCUUAGCACUCUAUAGCAUUCUUCCCUAACCUCGAGUUUUCUGUACACUUGUCUUCUAAAGAAAUCUCAGGCUUCUCCAUUAGGAAACAAAGUACUUCUUGAAUU